Molecule: transfer RNA, 80 nt
Filed under: Anaerolineae bacterium
Lineage: Bacteria; Bacillati; Chloroflexota; Anaerolineae
Description: tRNA-Leu
Rfam family: tRNA
About the family: Transfer RNA (tRNA) molecules are approximately 80 nucleotides in length.
Source: RNAcentral
GCCCCGGUGGCGGAAUGGCAUACGCAGCAGGUUGAGGGCCUGUGCCUUCGGGCGUGGAGGUUCGAGUCCUCUCCGGGGCA